This 387-nucleotide long non-coding RNA is filed under the name Oryza sativa Indica Group (long-grained rice). RNAcentral describes it as "lncRNA OsIR64_01g0017690". Lineage: Eukaryota; Viridiplantae; Streptophyta; Magnoliopsida; Poales; Poaceae. The record is from RNAcentral.
GAUCUGGGAACGGGCGGCCAAGGGAGCGGCGUCGGCGUCCUCCAGCGGCAGGCGACGGGAGAACGGCGAAAUCGGCCAGCGACGGGUGGAAAGGAGUCACCGCCGCAGCCGCCGGAGGUCGGAGCCGAGGGGAGGUGGGCGAACAACAACGAGCGACGCCUCGAGGGUAUCUUUCCUCUUCUUGUUCUUCUUGUUCCUCUUCUUUUCCAGCGUGGCCCCGGCCGGAACCCCAAAUGGGGGCACGUCUCGUUCUCCGUCCGCGCGUCCGCCGCGGCGGCGCCGGCGGCAGGGUGUGAUGCCGCGGGGGAUGGGGGAUGGGGAUGGAGGCGGCCGCCAUGCCAGAGGAGCUGCGGCACAAACGCUCUGACAGCAAGCAAUCCUGUCUAG